Molecule: long non-coding RNA, 769 nt
Filed under: Oryza sativa (Asian cultivated rice)
Lineage: Eukaryota; Viridiplantae; Streptophyta; Magnoliopsida; Poales; Poaceae
Description: long non-coding RNA (OSAT_LNC000851)
Source: RNAcentral
GUGAGCGAGCAGCCCGCGCGGGUUCGAUCCCUGGGAUCAUCAUCCGCGCGUCUCACCGGGAUUUAUUCCCAAAUAAAUUUCCAGCUCUCCUGUGCCAGCGCCACAAUAGUAGAGUGACGUCCUCGUCACGCACAAGGUUCUUAGGUGGCUUUGUGCAUCUCAUUAGCACGUGUGUGUAUAGUUGAUAGGUCUAGCAUGCGUGUAGGGGUGUGUGUGUGUGCGUGGUGGAGUGCGUUUGCACGUAUGUUCAGAUAGUUGAUAGGUCUAGCAUGCGUGCCAGCGCCACAAUAGUAGAGUGACGUCCUCGUCACGCACAAGGUUCUUAGGUGGCUUUGUGCAUCUCAUUAGCACGUGUGUGUAUAGUUGAUAGGUCUAGCAUGCGUGUAGGGGUGUGUGUGCGUGGUGGAGUGCGUUUGCACGUAUGUUCAGAUAGUUGAUAGGUUUAGCAUGCGUGUAGGGGUGUGUGUGUGCGUGGUGGAGUGCGUUUGCACGUAUGUUCAGAUACUACAGCUUGUACUCUGUACUCAAAGUGGAGAGCUCUCAAAUGUGCGUGGUGGAGUGCGUUUGCACGUAUGUUCAGAUAGUUGAUAGGUCUAGCAUGCGUGCCAGCGCCACAAUAGUAGAGUGACGUCCUCGUCACGCACAAGGUUCUUAGGUGGCUUUGUGCAUCUCAUUAGCACGUGUGUGUAUAGUUGAUAGGUCUAGCAUGCGUGUAGGGGUGUGUGUGUGCGUGGUGGAGUGCGUUUGCACGUAUGUUCAGAUACUACAG